Molecule: long non-coding RNA, 679 nt
Filed under: Homo sapiens (human)
Lineage: Eukaryota; Metazoa; Chordata; Mammalia; Primates; Hominidae
Description: non-protein coding lnc-ELOVL1-1:4
Source: RNAcentral
GAGCCGGCGCCAGAGGACUAGUACUGGAAAGCCGGCCGGGACAGGGCGGGGCAGGGCGGGGCCGGGUGGGGCCUGCGCUGCCUCAGCGUCCUGGAGUCGUCUCGGUUCGCCCUUUUGCGUGCCUUCCACCGCCGCGAGCUCGGAAUGUCUGGCCCCGGGUGCUUCAGGGUCCGAGAACCUGCAGAAGUUCACACUUAAAUCCUACACGAGAGUCGUAUUUAUGAUGCAGAACUCGGUGCAGAACCCGAUGGAGUGCCCAAGGCGCUUGAGCCGUUCCUAGAAGGGGAAGGAGAGCCGCGGGCGGCAGCGGGGCAGGGGACGGAAUUGGGAAGCUUGGGAGCAGGAAGAAGGCCAGAGCUACUUAGGGGACUCAAGACUGGAAUGGGAAGAGCAUGAAAUUGAGCUGUCUAUCCCCCUGGAUCUCUCAUUGCCACCUGCCCAUAGGUUGGCUGCACCCCUCCACCAAAGAAAGGCCAUGACUCCUUCCUGGCAGCCCUGUCUUACAGCUACUCUCUGGUGAUCUGGGAACCACUCCCUCCCUUACCCCUUGAUGCCUAGGGCUAGUGCCAGCACCUUGUUGUUGUUAGCCUCAGAGGCACUUGCACUGUUCCUUGAUGGUUUUCCCAAAUCUUGCCCUCAUCUUUGUAAAUACUGUUUGCCGUUUAUUACACUGUCAUCA